UGAGGAAUAUUGGUCAAUGGAGGCAACUCUGAACCAGCCAAGCCGCGUGAAGGAAGACUGUUCUAUGAAUUGUAAACUUCUUUUGUGACAGAGUAAAGAUAGCUACUUGUAGUUAUUUGCAAGUAUGUCAUGAAUAAGCAUCGGCUAACUCCGUGCCAGCAGCCGCGGUAAUACGGAGGAUGCAGGCGUUAUCCGGAUUUAUUAGGUUUAAAGGGUGUUCAGGCUGUCUGGUAAGUCAGAGGUGAAAGUCGGUUGCUUAACGAUCGAAUUGCCUUUGAAACUGUCAGACUUGAGUAUGGAUGCGGUAGGCGGAAUGUGUAGUGUAGCGGUGAAAUGCAUAGAUAUUACACAGAACACCGAUUGCGAAAGCAGCUUACCAAACCAGCACUGACGCUGAAGCACGAAAGCGUGGGUAGCGAACA
This 422-nucleotide ribosomal RNA is filed under the name uncultured bacterium. RNAcentral's name for it is "bacterial SSU rRNA". It matches the Rfam family "Bacterial small subunit ribosomal RNA", at positions 355 to 774 of the family's 1533-position model. The record is from RNAcentral.